UCCGUAGGUGAACCUGCGGAAGGAUCAUUACUGAUUUGCUUAAUUGCACCACAUGUGUUUUUCUUUGAAACAAACUUGCUUUGGCGGUGGGCCCAGCCUGCCGCCUGUGGUCUAAACUUACAACCAAUUUUUUAUCAACUUGUCACACCAGAUUAUUACUAAUAGUCAAAACUUUCAACAACGGAUCUCUUGGUUCUCGCAUCGAUGAAGAACGCAGCGAAAUGCGAUACGUAAUAUGAAUUGCAGAUAUUCGUGAAUCAUCGAAUCUUUGAACGCACAUUGCGCCCUCUGGUAUUCCGGAGGGCAUGCCUGUUUGAGCGUCGUUUCUCCCUCAAACCGCUGGGUUUGGUGUUGAGCAAUACGACUUGGGUUUGCUUGAAAGACGGUAGUGGUAAGGCGGGAUCGCUUUGACAAUGGCUUAGGUCUAACCAAAAACAUUGCUUGCGGCGGCAACGUCUACCACGUAUAUCUUCAAACUUUGACCUCAAAUCAGGUAGGACUACCCGCUGAACUUAAGCAUAUCAAUAAGCGGAGGAAAAGA
RNAcentral lists this small RNA (541 nucleotides) under Candida albicans. Its description in RNAcentral is "eukaryotic LSU rRNA". The stretch from base 170 to 323 matches the Rfam family "5.8S ribosomal RNA". The record is from RNAcentral. Lineage: Eukaryota; Fungi; Ascomycota; Pichiomycetes; Serinales; Debaryomycetaceae.